Molecule: ribosomal RNA, 496 nt
Filed under: uncultured bacterium
Lineage: Bacteria
Description: partial 16S ribosomal RNA
Rfam family: Bacterial small subunit ribosomal RNA (bases 52-496)
Source: RNAcentral
GGGGGGGGGGGGGGGGGGGGGGGGGGGGGGGGGGGGGGGGGGGGGGGGGGGGUGGGGGGGGGGACGGGAGGGGCGGCGGGCGGGUGAGUGGCGCGUGGGGGAUCUGCCGGGGGGGGGGGCGGACAGUUGGAGACGAGUGCUCAUACCGCCUAAAACCUUUAAACACAAGUUUUACGUUUGAAAGAUGCAAUUGCAUCACUCAAAGAUGAUCCCGCGUUGUAUUCGCUAGUUGGUGAGGUAAAGGCUCACCAAGGCGAUGAUACGUAGCCGACCGGAGAGGGGGAUCGGCCACAUUGGGACUGAGACACGGCCCAAACGCCUACGGGAGGCAGCAGUAGGGAAGCUUCGGCAAUGGACGAAAGUCUGACCGAGCAACGCCGCGUGAGUGAAGAAGGUUUUCGGAUCGUAAAACUCUGUUGGUAGAGAAGAACGUUGGUGAGAGUGGAAAGCUCAUCAAGUGACGGUAACUACCCAGAAAGGGACGGCUAACUACGUG